UACGUAGGGUGCAAGCGUUGUCCGGAAUCAUUGGGCGUAAAGCGCGCGUAGGCGGCCCUGUAAGUCCGUUGUGAAAGUCAAAGGCUCAACCUUUGAAAGCCGAUGGAUACUGCAGGGCUAGAGUCCGGAAGAGGCGAGUGGAAUUCCUGGUGUAGCGGUGGAAUGCGCAGAUAUCAGGAGGAACACCAAUAGCGAAGGCAGCUCGCUGGGACGGUACUGACGCUAAGGCGCGAAAGCGUGGGGAGCGAACAGG
This 253-nucleotide ribosomal RNA is filed under the name uncultured bacterium. RNAcentral's name for it is "partial 16S ribosomal RNA". It matches the Rfam family "Bacterial small subunit ribosomal RNA", at positions 524 to 776 of the family's 1533-position model. The record is from RNAcentral.